This 3139-nucleotide long non-coding RNA is filed under the name Canis lupus familiaris (dog). RNAcentral describes it as "lncRNA (ENSCAFG00845023712.1)". The record is from RNAcentral. Lineage: Eukaryota; Metazoa; Chordata; Mammalia; Carnivora; Canidae.
UUUUUGUUUUUUUUUUUGUUUUUUUGUCCUGGUGUCAUGAGUUAUGGGACUGAUUAAUUGGUGCUAAUUGAUUUGUUAGCUUUGGAGCCCUGCAGGGAGUGAAGCACUUCACAGAAUGAUGCUUCUGGAAGCAUGAAGGGACACAGACCAACUCCUGAACCAUGGUGGAUAUCUCCCUUAAAACAAUGUUUAUCCUUUAAGGGGGGGGGGGGGGUGCCAAAAAGACAAAGAGAAAGGAGGCAGGAAAAGAGGGAAGGCUGGAAGGAGACAAGGAAGAAAAGGAUGUAUUUUUAAGUGAAAAAAUAUUAAACUGGUCUUUGGUAUUUGGAACUACGUAUGCUAUUUAGUUUGGGGCUUCAUUAAAGUGAUGGAUAGAAAAAGAGCCUCUGUAAGGUCAGCUCUGUUGGUUUCUAAGCAUCUUUCAUACGUGCCUGGAUCCCACCACUUACUUCCUAUUUAAAUCCAAGUUUUUACUUCAGACUUAACAUACGUCACAAAAAUGUAUACAGGAUUUCCUAGAGGACCUUUCUUAAGUACACAUUUGUUGCUAGAAAGAUUGUGUGCGUGUGUGUGUGUGUGCGCGCGUAACAUAUCAGAAUCUUCAGGGCAGAGAUAUUUUUUUAAUGGGAUGAAAGUGAGAAAAAAAAACAAUCAUAGUAUCCCAACAGAUCUAUUUUUAUCUUUUCUUGGUUUCACUACCAUUAACCUAAAUUCUAAUUUCUCUGGAUCGCAUUAAAGGAUCCCCAAUCUGAUCCCACCUAUGAAGACAGCAUGUUCCUAAAGCUACAGUCCUGGGAAAUUAAUUUUGCUUAAUUUUGCUCCCAGAAAUGAGAGCCAGGAUUUUGCACAAGUUGUUUCCUCUGCCUGGAAGUCAAGUCUGGGUCACCGGUCAUAUAUGCACAAAGACAUAAUAAUACCAAAACUAUUAUGUAAUUAGAAAUAUCAGAUGAUCCCACUCUGCUCUCUAGAAAUGAGCAUGUAGAAAAUAUUUGAAAAAAAAAACCCUAGGAAUAAAAGAUUUUUAAAAGAAUUUAGGGACACCUGGGUGGCUCAGCAGUUGAACCUCUGUCUUCGGCUCAGGGCAUGGUCCCAGGAUCCUGGGAUCGAGUCUCGCCCGCAUCGGGCUCCCCGCAGGAAGUCUGAUUCUCCUUCUGCCUGUGUCUCUGCCUCUCACUGUGUCUCUCAGGAAUAAAUAAAUAAAAUCUUUAAAAAAAAUAAUAUUAACAAGCAGUACACGUAAUUAAGCUAUGAAGAUUUUAAGUAAUACAAGCAUAUAUUUAAGAAACAGAAUAGUUAUGUAUUCAUUUUUAUGGUUUCCUUUUUCAAAAUGGUGAGCUAAAUUUGUUUUCUUUCAUAAGCAGUAAUAUUAAAGUUUCUUUCAAAAUCAACACACUUAAAAACAGAAGGUUGGAUUGAGGAAAAUAUUGAAAAUAAUAUUUCUGCUGCUGUGAGUUAUUAUCAAAACCAGGAGGGAGGGAUAACAUUGACGAAAUUCUAGAGGGGAAAUAAUACUAAAAAUAUAUUCUUCAGUUAGGCAGGACUGGGGAAACCUAACGUGUAACAUCUACCAAACAACUUUCUUCCAGAACAUUUCUUCUUCUUUUUUUUUUUUUUAAGAUUGUAUUUAUUUAUUUAUUUAUUUAUUUAUUUGAGAGAAAGUAAGCACAAGAGUACAAGCAGGGGCAGAGGGAGAGGGAGAAGCCGACUCUCCAUUGAGCAGGGAGCCCAAAGCGGGGGGUCUGGAUCCCAGGCCCCUGGGAAAGUGACCUGAGCUGAAGGCAGACGCUUAACUGACGGAGCCCCCCAGGCUCCCCAUCGCCAUGUUUCUUUUUUAACUACACAAAUAGUCCGAAAAAAAUAGAGACUUCCUAUUUUUAUUCCCCACCCAUCCCACCCCGUUUCCUCCAAUGGUAACGUUUUGCGAAACUACUGCCCAGGGUCAAAACCAGGAUAUUGACCAUGAUGUAGUCCAACUAUAGAACGUCCCCAUCACCACAAAAACCCACUGUCACCAUCUAUCUACCCAGGUACCCACUCUCACCCCACACCUGACACCUGGAAACCACUAAUAGUUUUCCUUUUCUACAACUUGGUCAUUUCAUGAGUAUUGUAAGAACCGUUACACAGUAUGGGUACUUCGAGGGUUGACUUCUCACAACCAGUAUAAUCCCCUAAAGAUUCAAACGAGCCAUCAAACAGAUGUGCAGUACUUACCUUCAUAUGGCUGCAUCCUGUCAUAUGGACUUAUCAGGAUUUGUGUGGACAUCCACUCUCCUUUCUCUUCCGUAUGGCCAAGAGUUUAAUCACUGGGUUACGCACAUUACAGCUGACAGUCGCAUGUUGAGUGUUUUCAAGAACUGCCAAACUCUUUCUUUCCACAGGGGCUGUAGCAUUUCACAUUCGCACCAGCAAUGUGUCCGCGAUCCAGUUUGUCCACACCCUUGCCAGCGUUUGAGGUGGACACUCUCUUUUACUUUAUCCAUUUUGAUAAGUAUCUAAGGGGAUCACACUGCGGUUUGAGCUUGCAUUUACUUCAUCAAUAGUGACGCUGAACAUCUUUCAUGUGCUUAUUUGUGAAUCUGUAGAUCUUCGCUGGUGAAUUGUCUGUUGAUGUCUUUGCCCAUUUUCUCAUUGAAUGAAUCACUGCUGAGUUUGGAGAGUUAUUUUCUAGAUACUAUCCCCUUUUCAGAUAGGUGAGUAGCAAAUAUUUUCUUGUCCUCUGUAGCUUGCUCUGUCGGUCUUGACAGAGUCUUACAGAUCAAAACUUUUCAAUCUUGAUCAGCUGAAUUUUUCUUUUCCUUUUAUGGAUUGUUUCUGAUGUCAAGUAUAAGAAGUGUUUGCCUUGCCCUAAUGUCACUGAUGAAUUUUACCUCAAAUGUAUGCAGUCAAUUUUGCGGACCGUAAGAGAGAGAGUCCUGAACAAUUCACUGCUCUAUUCAUGUUUAGGAUUUUAAGAAAAAUCCUAUUAACUCUGUUGUGCACUACUAUCUCUGGGAAGUCCUGAAGGCAAGUUUUCUUGAUCUCAAUGACAGGUAAAGUGUGCCUCCCUGAAAAAAUGAACAUUCUUAAAUUACGUAGUGACUGAAUUACAUAAUUUCAGCAUAUUUCUCUCAGUGUGUAUGUCUAUGUUAUACUCUGC